GCAAGUCUGGUGCCAGCAGCCGCGGUAAUUCCAGCUCCAAUAGCGUAUAUUAAAGUUGUUGCAGUUAAAAAGCUCGUAGUUGAACCUUGGGCCUGGCUGACCGGUCCGCCUCACCGCGUGCACUGGUUCGGCCGGGCCUUUCCUUCUGGGGAGCCGCAUGCCCUUCACUGGGUGUGUCGGGGAACCAGGACUUUUACUUUGAAAAAAUUAGAGUGUUCAAAGCAGGCCUAUGCUCGAAUACAUUAGCAUGGAAUAAUAGAAUAGGACGUGUGGUUCUAUUUUGUUGGUUUCUAGGACCGCCGUAAUGAUUAAUAGGGAUAGUCGGGGGCAUCAGUAUUCAAUUGUCAGAGGUGAAAUUCUUGGAUUUAUUGAAGACUAACUACUGCGAAAGCAUUUGCCAAGGAUGUUUUCAUUAAUCAGUGAACGAAAGUUAGGGGAUCGAAGACGAUCAGAUACCGUCGUAGUCUUAACCAUAAACUAUGCCGACUAGGGAUCGGGCGAUGUUAUCUUUUUGACUCGCUCGGCACCUCACGAGAAAUCAAAGUUUUUGGGUUCUGGGGGGAGUAUGGUCGCAAGCUGAAACUUAAAGGAAUUGACGGAAG
Molecule: ribosomal RNA, 602 nt
Filed under: Clarireedia homoeocarpa
Lineage: Eukaryota; Fungi; Ascomycota; Leotiomycetes; Helotiales; Rutstroemiaceae
Description: SSU rRNA
Rfam family: Eukaryotic small subunit ribosomal RNA
Source: RNAcentral